GCACAUGGUAGGGGAGCGUUCCGUAAGCCUGUGAAGGUGGCUUGUAAAGGCUGCUGGAGGUAUCGGAAGUGCGAAUGCUGACAUGAGUAGCGUUAAAACGGGUGAAAAGCCCGUUCGCCGAAAGCCCAAGGUUUCCUGCGCAACGUUCAUCGGCGCAGGGUGAGUCGGCCCCUAAGGCGAGGCUGAAAAGCGUAGUCGAUGGGAAACAGGUUAAUAUUCCUGUACCGGUUCUUGGUGCGAUGUGGGGACGGAGAAGGGUAGGUCAGCCGGGUGUUGGAAGUCCCGGUUCAAGCGUGCAGGUGGGGAGAUCAGGCAAAUCCGGUCUCCUGUUAACACUGAGGCGUGACGACGGUGCUGCAUUGCAGCCGAAGUGAUUGAUCCCAUGCUUCCAGGAAAAGCCACUAAGCUUCAGCCAAGAAUUGACCGUACCGCAAACCGACACUGGUGGGCAGGAUGAGAAUUCCAAGGCGCUUGAGAGAACUCAGGAGAAGGAACUCGGCAAAUUGACACCGUAACUUCGGGAGAAGGUGUGCCCCGUUAGCGUGAAGCGAUUUACUCGUGGAGCGUGAAGGGGUUGCAGUGAAAAGGUGGCUGCGACUGUUUAUCAAAAAACACAGCACUCUGCCAAGACGAAAGUCGACGUAUAGGGUGUGACGCCUGCCCGGUGCCGGAAGGUUAAGUGAUGGGGUGCAAGCUCUUGAUCGAAGCCCCGGUAAACGGCGGCCGUAACUAUAACGGUCCUAAGGUAGCGAAAUUCCUUGUCGGGUAAGUUCCGACCCGCACGAAUGGCGUAACGAUGGCCACACUGUCUCCUCCUGAGACUCAGCGAAGUUGAAAUGUUUGUGAAGAUGCAAUCUCCCCGCUGCUAGACGGAAAGACCCCGUGAACCUUUACUGUAGCUUUGCAUUGGACUUUGAAGUGGUUUGUGUAGGAUAGGUGGGAGGCUUUGAAGCGUGGACGCUAGUUCACGUGGAGCCGUCCUUGAAAUACCACCCUGACCCCUUUGAGGUUCUAACCUUGGUCCGUGAUCCGGAUCGGGGACCGUGCAUGGUAGGCAGUUUGACUGGGGCGGUCUCCUCCCAAAGUGUAACGGAGGAGCUCGAAGGUCACCUAGGUACGGUCGGACAUCGUACUGAUAGUGUAAUGGCACAAGGUGGCUUGACUGCGAGACUGACAAGUCGAGCAGGUGCGAAAGCAGGACAUAGUGAUCCGGUGGUUCUGAAUGGAAGGGCCAUCGCUCAACGGAUAAAAGGUACUCCGGGGAUAACAGGCUGAUUCCGCCCAAGAGUUCACAUCGACGGCGGAGUUUGGCACCUCGAUGUCGGCUCAUCACAUCCUGGGGCUGUAGCCGGUCCCAAGGGUAUGGCUGUUCGCCAUUUAAAGUGGUACGUGAGCUGGGUUCAAAACGUCGUGAGACAGUUUGGUCCCUAUCUGCAGUGGGCGUUGGAAGUUUGAGGGGGGCUGCUCCUAGUACGAGAGGACCGGAGUGGACGCAUCUCUGGUGUACCGGUUAUCACGCCAGUGGUAUCGCCGGGUAGCUAAAUGCGGAAGAGAUAAGCGCUGAAAGCAUCUAAGCGCGAAACUCGCCUCAAGAUGAGACUUCCCUGGUAACUUGA
RNAcentral lists this ribosomal RNA (1616 nucleotides) under Silvimonas sp. JCM 19000. RNAcentral describes it as "bacterial LSU rRNA". It matches the Rfam family "Bacterial large subunit ribosomal RNA", at positions 1221 to 2825 of the family's 2925-position model. The record is from RNAcentral. Lineage: Bacteria; Pseudomonadati; Pseudomonadota; Betaproteobacteria; Neisseriales; Chitinibacteraceae.